This 97-nucleotide signal recognition particle RNA is filed under the name Treponema sp. RNAcentral describes it as "signal recognition particle sRNA small type". It matches the Rfam family "Bacterial small signal recognition particle RNA". From Rfam's summary of the family: The signal recognition particle (SRP) is a universally conserved ribonucleoprotein involved in the co-translational targeting of proteins to membranes. Lineage: Bacteria; Pseudomonadati; Spirochaetota; Spirochaetia; Treponematales; Treponemataceae. The record is from RNAcentral.
UCAGAUGCUCUGCACGCUGGUGCUAGAAAACCCCGCCAGAUCGGGAACGAAGCAACGGUAUUUAGUUUCUGGUGGUGACAGGGAUUAUCUGAGCUUU